Molecule: long non-coding RNA, 339 nt
Filed under: Cricetulus griseus (Chinese hamster)
Lineage: Eukaryota; Metazoa; Chordata; Mammalia; Rodentia; Cricetidae
Description: lncRNA (ENSCGRG00000025574.1)
Source: RNAcentral
GCCUUAAGACUUGCUCAUCGGGUGGCAUCCUCUUGGAGCCUGAAGUGGGUCAGACCCUCAAGUACCCACCACACUAGGCAGCAAGGGGAGCGAGAAAGACGGGAGAAGGAGAGAGAAGAGUGGGAACGCCAGUACAGCCGCCAGAGCCGCUCACCCUCCCCACGCUACAGUCGAGAGUACAGUUCUUCUCGAAGGCGCUCGAGGUCCAGGUCCCGAAGCCCCCAUUACAGGCAUUAGGCGGACUGCGUGGGACUGCAGCGCUCUGGGUUUCUGUAGUGAAAUAAAAGCAAACAUUAUUUAAUACCCUUUACUGCCUGCUGUCCUCUGACAAGUGUAGGA